CGCUAUCUGUAGUCGUGGGGCAGCAGGUCUGUAGCAAUACAGAUGCUGGCGACCGGCAAACGGGUGCGGAACACGUACACAACCUUCCUUUAAGUGGGGAAUAGCCCGGGGAAACCCGGAUUAAUACCCCGUAAGAUGAUGAAGUGGCAUCACUUUAUUAUUAUAGCUCCGGCGCUUAAAGAUGGGUGUGCGGCUGAUUAGGCAGUUGGCGGGGUAACGGCCCACCAAACCUACGAUCAGUAACUGGUGUGAGAGCACGACCAGUCACACGGGCACUGAGACACGGGCCCGACUCCUACGGGAGGCAGCAGUAAGGAAUAUUGGUCAAUGGACGCAAGUCUGAACCAGCCAUGCCGCGUGGAGGAUGAAGGUCCUUCGGAUUGUAAACUUCUUUUAUCUGGGAAGAAAUCCAUCUUUUCUUGGGUGGUUGACGGUACCAGAUGAAUAAGCACCGGCUAACUCCGUGCCAGCAGCCGCGGUAAUACGGAGGGUGCAAGCGUUAUCCGGAUUCACUGGGUUUAAAGGGUGCGUAGGUGGAUUGGUAAGUCAGUGGUGAAAUCUCCAGGCUUAACUUGGAAACUGCCAUUGAUACUAUCAGUCUUGAAUACCGUGGAGGUCAGCGGAAUAUGUCAUGUAGCGGUGAAAUGCUUAGAUAUGACAUAGAACACCAAUUGCGAAGGCAGCUGGCUACACGAAUAUUGACACUGAGGCACGAAAGCGUGGGGAUCAAACAGGAUUAGAUACCCUGGUAGUCCACGCCCUAAACGAUGGAUACUCGACAUACGCGAUAUACAGUGUGUGUCUGAGCGAAAGCAUUAAGUAUCCCACCUGGGAAGUACGAUCGCAAGAUU
This 851-nucleotide ribosomal RNA is filed under the name uncultured bacterium. RNAcentral describes it as "bacterial SSU rRNA". It matches the Rfam family "Bacterial small subunit ribosomal RNA", at positions 49 to 895 of the family's 1533-position model. The record is from RNAcentral.